This is a long non-coding RNA of Apis cerana (Asiatic honeybee), 1477 nucleotides long. RefSeq lists it as uncharacterized. Lineage: Eukaryota; Metazoa; Arthropoda; Insecta; Hymenoptera; Apidae. The record is from RefSeq and is a predicted model, not a curated record.
UGAAAGUAUUUUAUUUUAGAGAUUCUUUAAUAAUAAAAUAAAAAUAUACUUGUUGUUCAUAUAUAAAUUCAAUACGUAAAUAGCUUUCUUUUAAUCUCUUAAUCUCACAAUUUUCCAAUUACAGAUAAUAAAAGCUUUGUCAAUAUUAAAAAUUAAUAUAUAUUGCAAUCUCCUUAGUUGAAGAUAAAGUUCUGGAAAUUAAAACAAUUAUAUCUCAUCAGUUUAAAAAUACAAAUCUUGACUUUGAGUCAAGAUUAAAAGACAGUCACACCCAAUCAAAUGUUUUACUAAUAUUUGAAUUAUGUCCAUUACAUCAGACAGAACAUGAUAUGUAAUUAUCUUUGUUGACAAGUUUAUACACUUUUAUAUAUUCUUAUAAGAAGAAGAAGUUAUUGAAUUGCUAAAAUCUUAGAAUGAGUCACUUCAAUAAAGGAAUUAGUGACAUCAAGCUGUAAAGAGGUUAUUUUAUUCCUUAUGACAAAUCAUUUAAUUCUAACCUAUUUGAUAUACUGCGAAAUAAAGAGAAAUUUACACUUUAGAAUAAUAUUAAAAAUUUAUCAUUUAUUGAAACUCAUCGAAGUUUUCAAAGAUUUUACUCAAUUAAAUGAUUUUAAAAAAGCUUAACAAUUGUAAAAUGAAUCACAUAUUCAACAUUACAUAUGAUCAACAAAUAUAAUAAUAAUCGUUUAAAGGUUAAUGUAUGCCGAAAUCAUUAUUAUGAUCAAGUUGUGUCAAGCAUUUUUUAGCAUAUUUUCUAAAUAAUAAUUUCUUUUUAGUAAAAUAUUUUAAAAAAUUUCUAUUUUAUUAUAAAACUAAAAAAUAUUUUUAUUCAAAUAAAUUGACAUCUUAUGUUACUAUUUUUCUCGCAUCUGAAUGAUCGAUUAUACUUCUUUUCGAUAGUGAACUGUUAACCUCAAAUUGUCGUAGCGUCAAAAAUUUGUCAAAGAUUUUAUAUUUUUUAUAUCCUGUAUUUUAAAUUUUGCUUUGAAUUCAUUUAAUCCAGUUUUAUAAGAAAUUUUUUUCCAUUUGAUCAUUCUUAAAUGUGAAUCAUGACAAUCAACAAAUCGAUCAAACCUAUACUUAAAGAAAUCAUAAAGUUAUAUUGAGAAGAAUCCACGCAUUUACGAAACGAGAGGAAACGAGAAGAAACGAGAACAUUUAACACUCAUCUUUAUUGCCAGAAUUAACAUGAGAGUGUAACACACAAUGCCGUAUCGCGUUCCGCCCGCGGCUAACAGGAAAGAAAGCGGAUCUCCGCAUUUUUAUGAAAAUGUAUGCACGUAGCGGCGGAUUUGCGGUAUAUAGAAACCACCAUCGAAGAUGUACGUUUUUUUUAUUUCGUUCGUUGAUAUGUUUCUUUUAUCGAAACAACAAGCGAGCUUUUCGUUAAAAUUCAAAUAAACAACUUUUUUUUCAUAUAAAAAAAUAUGAAAAUAUUAAAUUCAAAUGUUAUUUUAUAACUAUUCUUACAAUAUUA